GUUAAUGUAGCUUAUUUAAAAGCAAAGCACUGAAAAUGCUUAGAUGGGUAUUCUAUACCCCAUAAACA
Molecule: transfer RNA, 68 nt
Filed under: Callospermophilus lateralis (golden-mantled ground squirrel)
Lineage: Eukaryota; Metazoa; Chordata; Mammalia; Rodentia; Sciuridae
Description: tRNA-Phe
Rfam family: tRNA
About the family: Transfer RNA (tRNA) molecules are approximately 80 nucleotides in length.
Source: RNAcentral